UGGGGAAUAUUGCACAAUGGGCGCAAGCCUGAUGCAGCCAUGCCGCGUGUAUGAAGAAGGCCUUCGGGUUGUAAAGUACUUUCAGUCGGGAGGAAGGUGGUAAGGUUAAUAACCCUAUCAAUUGACGUUACCGACAGAAGAAGCACCGGCUAACCCCGUGCCAGCAGCCGCGGGAAUACGGAGGGUGCAAGCGUUAAUCGGAAUUACUGGGCGUAAAGCGCACGCAGGCGGUUGAUUGAGUCAGAUGUGAAAUCCCCGGGCUUAACCCGGGAAUUGCAUCUGAUACUGGUCAGCUAGAGUCUUGUAGAGGGGGGUAGAAUUCCAUGUGUAGCGGUGAAAUGCGUAGGGAUGUGGAGGAAUACCGGUGGCGAAGGCGGCCCCCUGGACAAAGACUGACGCUCAGGUGCGAAAGCGUGGGGAGCAAACAGG
This 429-nucleotide ribosomal RNA is filed under the name Chloroflexota bacterium. RNAcentral describes it as "Chloroflexi bacterium partial 16S ribosomal RNA". It matches the Rfam family "Bacterial small subunit ribosomal RNA", at positions 355 to 776 of the family's 1533-position model. The record is from RNAcentral. Lineage: Bacteria; Bacillati; Chloroflexota.